This 690-nucleotide ribosomal RNA is filed under the name uncultured bacterium. RNAcentral describes it as "bacterial SSU rRNA". It matches the Rfam family "Bacterial small subunit ribosomal RNA", at positions 126 to 810 of the family's 1533-position model. The record is from RNAcentral.
CUGGCCGUGACAGAUGGAUAACCGGGAGAAAUCCCGCCUAAUACAACAUAAUGCCGGGAGGGGACAUCCCCUGCCGGCCAAAGGGGGCGACCCCGGUCACGGAUGGGCAUGCGGCGCAUUAGGUAGUUGGUGGGGCAACGGCCCACCAAGCCGACGAUGCGUAGGGGUUCUGAGAGGAAGGUCCCCCACAUUGGAACUGAGACACGGUCCAAACUCCUACGGGAGGCAGCAGUGAGGAAUAUUGGUCAAUGGCCGGAAGGCUGAACCAGCCAAGUCGCGUGAGGGAAUAAGGCCCUACGGGUCGUAAACCUCUUUUGCCAGGGAGCAAUGCCGUCCACGUGUGGACGGAAGGAGAGUACCUGGAGAAAAAGCAUCGGCUAACUCCGUGCCAGCAGCCGCGGUAAUACGGAGGAUGCGAGCGUUAUCCGGAUUUAUUGGGUUUAAAGGGUGCGUAGGCGGCCUGCCAAGUCAGCGGUAAAAUUGCGGGGCUCAACCCCGUACAGCCGUUGAAACUGCCGGGCUCGAGUGGGCGAGAAGUAUGCGGAAUGCGUGGUGUAGCGGUGAAAUGCAUAGAUAUCACGCAGAACCCCGAUUGCGAAGGCAGCAUACCGGCGCCCGACUGACGCUGAGGCACGAAAGUGCGGGGAUCAAACAGGAUUAGAUACCCUGGUAGUCCGCACAGUAAACGAU